AUUGAACGCUGGCGGCAGGCCUAACACAUGCAAGUCGAGCGAGCGGCGGACGGGUGAGUAAUGUCUGGGAAACCGCUUGAUGGAGGGGGAUAACUACUGGAAACGGUAGCUAAUACCGCAUACCAUCAGAUGUGCCCAGAUGGGCUUGGCUAGUAGGGGGGGUGAUGGCUCACCUAGGCGACGAUCCCUAGCUGGUCUGAGAGGAUGACCAGCCAUACUGGAACUGUGACACUGUCAAGACGCCGGUGGGAGGGAGCAGUGGGGAAGAUUGCACAACGGGCGGAAGCCUGGUGCAGCCAUGGCGAGUGUGUGAAGAAGGCCUUCGGGUUGUAAAGCACUUUCAGCGGGGAGACGUUACCCGCAGAAGAAGCACCGGCUAACUCCGUGCCAGCCGCCGCGGUAAUAC
This 406-nucleotide ribosomal RNA is filed under the name uncultured bacterium. RNAcentral describes it as "partial 16S ribosomal RNA". It matches the Rfam family "Bacterial small subunit ribosomal RNA", at positions 29 to 526 of the family's 1533-position model. The record is from RNAcentral.